AAAUUGAAGAGUUUGAUCAUGGCUCAGAUUGAACGCUGGCGGCAGGCCUAACACAUGCAAGUCGAGCGGUAGCACAGAGAGCUUGCUCUCGGGUGACGAGCGGCGGACGGGUGAGUAAUGUCUGGGAAACUGCCUGAUGGAGGGGGAUAACUACUGGAAACGGUAGCUAAUACCGCAUAAUGUCGCAAGACCAAAGUGGGGGACCUUCGGGCCUCAUGCCAUCAGAUGUGCCCAGAUGGGAUUAGCUAGUAGGUGGGGUAACGGCUCACCUAGGCGACGAUCCCUAGCUGGUCUGAGAGGAUGACCAGCCACACUGGAACUGAGACACGGUCCAGACUCCUACGGGAGGCAGCAGUGGGGAAUAUUGCACAAUGGGCGCAAGCCUGAUGCAGCCAUGCCGCGUGUGUGAAGAAGGCCUUCGGGUUGUAAAGCACUUUCAGCGGGGAGGAAGGCGUUAAGGUUAAUAACCUUGGCGAUUGACGUUACCCGCAGAAGAAGCACCGGCUAACUCCGUGCCAGCAGCCGCGGUAAUACGGAGGGUGCAAGCGUUAAUCGGAAUUACUGGGCGUAAAGCGCACGCAGGCGGUCUGUCAAGUCGGAUGUGAAAUCCCCGGGCUCAACCUGGGAACUGCAUUCGAAACUGGCAGGCUAGAGUCUUGUAGAGGGGGGUAGAAUUCCAGGUGUAGCGGUGAAAUGCGUAGAGAUCUGGAGGAAUACCGGUGGCGAAGGCGGCCCCCUGGACAAAGACUGACGCUCAGGUGCGAAAGCGUGGGGAGCAAACAGGAUUAGAUACCCUGGUAGUCCACGCCGUAAACGAUGUCGAUUUGGAGGUUGUGCCCUUGAGGCGUGGCUUCCGGAGCUAACGCGUUAAAUCGACCGCCUGGGGAGUACGGCCGCAAGGUUAAAACUCAAAUGAAUUGACGGGGGCCCGCACAAGCGGUGGAGCAUGUGGUUUAAUUCGAUGCAACGCGAAGAACCUUACCUGGUCUUGACAUCCACAGAACUUUCCAGAGAUGGAUUGGUGCCUUCGGGAACUGUGAGACAGGUGCUGCAUGGCUGUCGUCAGCUCGUGUUGUGAAAUGUUGGGUUAAGUCCCGCAACGAGCGCAACCCUUAUCCUUUGUUGCCAGCGGUCCGGCCGGGAACUCAAAGGAGACUGCCAGUGAUAAACUGGAGGAAGGUGGGGAUGACGUCAAGUCAUCAUGGCCCUUACGACCAGGGCUA
This 1223-nucleotide ribosomal RNA is filed under the name Klebsiella pneumoniae. Its description in RNAcentral is "bacterial SSU rRNA". It matches the Rfam family "Bacterial small subunit ribosomal RNA", at positions 1 to 1216 of the family's 1533-position model. The record is from RNAcentral. Lineage: Bacteria; Pseudomonadati; Pseudomonadota; Gammaproteobacteria; Enterobacterales; Enterobacteriaceae.